RNAcentral lists this long non-coding RNA (201 nucleotides) under Elaeis guineensis (African oil palm). Its description in RNAcentral is "long non-coding RNA (EGUI_LNC054810)". The record is from RNAcentral. Lineage: Eukaryota; Viridiplantae; Streptophyta; Magnoliopsida; Arecales; Arecaceae.
GAUUAGACCUAAGGUUAGAAUCAAAAACUUAAUGGACUAAAAAGAGUAGUUGAUCAAAUCUAACUAAUAGUUGAUUUAGAUUAGGUCAAGGGUACCCUACAUCAAACACAGUAGUUAUAGUUGAUCGAGUCUGUAUCUUUGAUUAAACCAAAUAAACCUUGAUCAAGGCUCAAUGGUUGACCCUGAGUCAUUGGGUUGAUU